AACGAACGCUGGCGGCAUGCCUAACACAUGCAAGUCGAACGAGACCUUCGGGUCUAGUGGCGCACGGGUGCGUAACGCGUGGGAACCUGCCUUUAGGUUCGGAAUAACUCAGAGAAAUUUGAGCUAAUACCGGAUGAUGUCUUCGGACCAAAGAUUUAUCGCCUUUAGAUGGGCCCGCGUUGGAUUAGCUAGUUGGUGGGGUAAAGGCCUACCAAGGCGACGAUCCAUAGCUGGUCUGAGAGGAUGAUCAGGCACACUGGGACUGAGACACGGCCCAGACUCCUGCGGGAGGCAGCAGUGGGGAAUAUUGGACACUGGGCGAAAGCCUGAUCCAGCAAUGCCGCGUGAAUGAUGAAGGCCUUAGGGUUGUAAAGCUCUUUUACCCGAGAUGAUAAUGACAGUAUCGGGAGAAUAAGCUCCGGCUAACUCCGAG
Molecule: ribosomal RNA, 433 nt
Filed under: uncultured bacterium
Lineage: Bacteria
Description: partial 16S ribosomal RNA
Rfam family: Bacterial small subunit ribosomal RNA
Source: RNAcentral